GGGUGUGUUGGGCAGGUGGUGCGCCCAGCGGCCUGUAAAGCCGUAGCGAAAGCGUGGAGGUUCGAUUCCUCUCACACCCACCA
RNAcentral lists this transfer RNA (83 nucleotides) under Micromonosporaceae bacterium. Its description in RNAcentral is "tRNA-Tyr". It matches the Rfam family "tRNA". Rfam says of the family: Transfer RNA (tRNA) molecules are approximately 80 nucleotides in length. Their secondary structure includes four short double-helical elements and three loops (D, anti-codon, and T loops). Further hydrogen bonds mediate the characteristic L-shaped molecular structure. tRNAs have two regions of fundamental functional importance: the anti-codon, which is responsible for specific mRNA codon recognition, and the 3' end, to which the tRNAs corresponding amino acid is attached (by aminoacyl-tRNA synthetases). tRNAs cope with the degeneracy of the genetic code in two manners: having more than one tRNA (with a specific anti-codon) for a particular amino acid; and 'wobble' base-pairing, i.e. permitting non-standard base-pairing at the 3rd anti-codon position. Lineage: Bacteria; Bacillati; Actinomycetota; Actinomycetes; Micromonosporales; Micromonosporaceae. The record is from RNAcentral.